UGAGGAAUAUUGGUCAAUGGACGGAAGUCUGAACCAGCCAAGUAGCGUGCAGGAUGACGGCCCUAUGGGUUGUAAACUGCUUUUGUAUGGGGAUAAAGUUAGGGACGUGUCCCUAUUUGCAGGUACCAUACGAAUAAGGACCGGCUAAUUCCGUGCCAGCAGCCGCGGUAAUACGGAAGGUCCAGGCGUUAUCCGGAUUUAUUGGGUUUAAAGGGAGCGUAGGCUGGAGAUUAAGUGUGUUGUGAAAUGUAGACGCUCAACGUCUGAAUUGCAGCGCAUACUGGUUUCCUUGAGUACGCACAACGUUGGCGGAAUUCGUCGUGUAGCGGUGAAAUGCUUAGAUAUGACGAAGAACUCCGAUUGCGAAGGCAGCUGACGGGAGCGCAACUGACGCUUAAGCUCGAAGGUGCGGGUAUCAAACAGGAUUAGAUACCCUGGUAGUCCGCACAGUAAACGAUGGAUGCCCGCUGUUGGUACCUGGUAUCAGCGGCUAAGCGAAAGCAUUAAGCAUCCCACCUGGGGAGUACGCCGGCNACGGUG
RNAcentral lists this ribosomal RNA (540 nucleotides) under uncultured bacterium. RNAcentral describes it as "bacterial SSU rRNA". It matches the Rfam family "Bacterial small subunit ribosomal RNA", at positions 355 to 896 of the family's 1533-position model. The record is from RNAcentral.